UCACCAGAUCGCUGCCGCGAGAGGGUUGCUGUGCUGGGGCCUGGGUGGCGGCUGGAGGCCUGAGUUGGGCCCGCGGCAGGGGUCGGCAGGGGGCCGGGUGCAGGAAUGAUGGAGGAGGAGGAACUGGAGUUCGUGGAGGAGCUGGAAGCCGUGCUGCAGCUCACGCCCGAGGUGCAGCUGGCCAUCGAGCAGGUGUUUCCAAGCCAGGACCCCCUAGAUCGAGCAGAUUUCAAUGCUGUUGAGUAUAUCAAUACCCUGUUCCCAACUGAGCAAAGUGAGAAUCACGAGGCACAGAAAGAUAAAGAACACUCAGCUUAAAUGUGAUAGCAUAGCCCUGAAGGAAGCAUGCCAAAUACAGUGACAGCAGAACCCAGGGCCUUACUUGGUCAAGAUGGGUUGAAAAGGCUUACUCCCUUGAGGAAAUGGUGUUUUAGCUGAAUACUACAGACCAAGUUAAUAAUUUUUUUUUUGAGAGGGGUCUCACUCUCUUGCCCAGGCUGGAGUGCAGUGGCACAAUCAUAGCUUACUGCAACCUCAAAUUCCUGGACUCAAGCCCCUCAGUAGCUAGCACUACAGGUGUGUGCCACCACACCCAGCUGAGUAUUAUUAUUAUUAUUAUUAUUUUGAGAUGGAGUCUUGCUUUGUCACCAGGUUGGGGUGGGGUGGCGCCAUCUCGGCUCACCGCAACCUCCGACUCCCUGGUUCAAGCGAUUCCCCUGUCUUAGCCUCCCGAGUAGCU
This 739-nucleotide small RNA is filed under the name Pongo abelii (Sumatran orangutan). Its description in RNAcentral is "processed transcript". Lineage: Eukaryota; Metazoa; Chordata; Mammalia; Primates; Hominidae. The record is from RNAcentral.